UUAAUCCUUUUCCUUUUUAAUAUAUUUUGGUUUAUUCAAAAAAAAAAAAAAAAAGUUUCCACUUUUAUUAUGCUUAUGCUUUUUAUUUCAAACCUGAUUUCUCCUUCCACCGUCGUCCAUCUUCUCCUUCAAAGGCAUGGAGACACUGGUCCUGGUCAUUGCAUUGUCAGGAACUUGCAAUUGGUGUGUUAGAUCUUAAACAAGUAAAGUGUGAUAUCAUUCAUAAUAAAUGGUAUUGAUAAAAUGACUCUGUUGUUUAUUUUAGAAGAGUAAAUAGAGUUCCAUGCCAUGGUUUACAAAUUGACUUUAAAAGUGAGUCCUUUUCUAUUAUUAAGUAGAUUGUGAGUUUGUUCCCGUCGUAGUGUUUUUUGUUGAUUGCCGAAAAAUGUGAGAAUGUUUACGAGUAUGUUGAAACCAAAUUAGACUUGUGCAAAAUGGAUGUAAGAUUGUAUAUAGCUAAACAUGAAGUUGAAGUAGA
This is a long non-coding RNA of Vicia villosa (hairy vetch), 478 nucleotides long. RefSeq lists it as uncharacterized. The record is from RefSeq and is a predicted model, not a curated record. The transcript has 2 exons. NCBI's taxonomy places the organism in Eukaryota, Viridiplantae, Streptophyta, Magnoliopsida, Fabales, Fabaceae.